Molecule: long non-coding RNA, 201 nt
Filed under: Elaeis guineensis (African oil palm)
Lineage: Eukaryota; Viridiplantae; Streptophyta; Magnoliopsida; Arecales; Arecaceae
Description: long non-coding RNA (EGUI_LNC033222)
Source: RNAcentral
CCAUGUAUCUCAACAACUUCUAUGUGUUGCCCCAUUCCCCAACUAUUAUGUAAUAUCGCAACAUCGAAUAUUUUAUGUGACUUAACAAUAGCCUAUAGAGGAAAAUAUCUCAUGUGACAUUGGAGUGUUCUCCGCAAAAGACAAUGGAAAAUAAAGUUUACUGUCUACAGUCCAAAAGAUAGUAACAUCCUCUAUUUUGGG